Long non-coding RNA from Gavialis gangeticus (Gharial), 628 nucleotides. RefSeq lists it as uncharacterized. The transcript has 2 exons. The record is from RefSeq and is a predicted model, not a curated record. Lineage: Eukaryota; Metazoa; Chordata; Crocodylia; Gavialidae.
CCUGGGGAGGAAAAGGAAAGAAAAAGAAACUGUUCAAUUACUUUUAAAGACUGAGACAGAUCAGUAUUCACCCUACAAAUGCACACACAUCUUAUAAAUAGUACUUUACCCUAAGGCACAUGGAGGACACUUGGGGGUCACCAAGUACUUAAAUGUAGUAUUUCUUCACAGGAAAAAUAGAAACACAUUACAUAUCAGUUGAUGCAGGGAUCAAGAGACAGCUGCAAUCAUGUUUUACAUUAUAAAUACAAAUCAUGAGUUUUGGGAUACAAAUAAAGUUGUUUACAGUUAAGAACUCCAUCGCUUAGGAAACUGUUAUUAACCUUCCUAUUCUUAUUAAAAGCGUUUCAAUCAUCUUUGAUCAGCUUGAUGCCUCACUCAGAAUAUGGCGUAUCUGAGCACAGUGGUUCUUUGGUCUCAAGCUGGGAUGUUCCUUGCACAGUGAUUCUAAGGGUGCAACAAUUCUCCAGAAGUCAAUGAACACAGGACCCAGGAAUUUCAGUUGAGAGUCUGAACAAGCUUAACAUUGUUUAGCUCACAAGUUAAGAAAAGAUCACUGUUAAAGUAACGAGCACAGUAUGAAAAUACACAUAGGCAGGAAAAACAGCAUGCCAAGCUAGAACUGAAA